Molecule: ribosomal RNA, 611 nt
Filed under: uncultured bacterium
Lineage: Bacteria
Description: bacterial SSU rRNA
Rfam family: Bacterial small subunit ribosomal RNA
Source: RNAcentral
AGAGUUUGAUCCUGGCUCAGGGUUAACGCUGGCGGCGCGCAUAACACAUGCAAGUCGAGCGAGGGCUCUUCUCCCGCAAGGGAGGGGAGUUCCUAGCGGCGAACGGGUGAGUAACACGUGGGCAACCUUUCCUAUCGCGGGGGAUAACAGCGGGAAACCGCUGCUAAUACCGCAUGUCGUCAUCGGUCGCAUGGCCGGUGAAAAAAGCAGCAAUGCACGAUGGGGUGGGCCCGCGGCCUAUCAGCUAGUCGGUGGGGUAACGGCCUACCGAGGCGAUGACGGGUAGCUGGUCUGAGAGGACGACCAGCCACACGGGGACUGAGACACGGCCCCGACUCCUACGGGAGGCAGCAGUGAGGAAUCUUCCGCAAUGGGCGAAAGCCUGACGGAGCGACGCCGCGUGUGGGAUGAAGUCCUUCGGGAUGUAAACCACUGUUGGAGGGGAAGACUUCGACGGUACCCUCCGAGAAAGCCCCGGCUAACUACGUGCCAGCAGCCGCGGUAAUACGUAGGGGGCUAGCGUUAUCCAGAAUUACUGGGCGUAAAGCGCGUGUAGGCGGCUGGUUAAGUGUGAUGUGAAAUCUUCGGGCUCAACCCGAAAACUGCAUUGC